This 1029-nucleotide long non-coding RNA is filed under the name Salvia miltiorrhiza (redroot sage). RNAcentral describes it as "long non-coding RNA (SMIL_LNC004063)". Lineage: Eukaryota; Viridiplantae; Streptophyta; Magnoliopsida; Lamiales; Lamiaceae. The record is from RNAcentral.
GUAACCGAGUAUCGUACUCCACAGGGACUGAUAAACGAAAUUACUCUAACUAUCUCCUAAACAGACUAUAACAGUAGACAGAUAACAGAAAGUAGGAAGAUUUGAUUAGCACUAAAUUCAAAUAACAACAAAUAAAAUAAGGUAAAAACUCAAAUAAUAAAAGACUCUGACCCUAGGGAUGUACUUUUACUAAUUAAUUACAUGCAUUUAAUCUAUUGAUUCAAUUACCAAUUUAAUCCAACCCUGAUGAGAGAUCACAGAACUAUUCACAAGCUUCUCUAACGAACACCUAUGAAAGUAGAUUAAUUUACCCCCCCUUCACAUUCAAGACUCCAAGGAAUAAAUUAACUCCCAAGCGUACACAAAGAAUAGCUCCCUAUAGUUUCAUCUAUCCCAUUCAAGUGUCAAGGCUACUACUAUAACAUGCAUUCCUGAAUCGGCUGAACAAUUAUCGCAUUCAAGACUCAAAUUGAACAACUAAACAUGUAAAUUAUUGGCCAAAUAAUUCACAAGAAAUUAAGCACCAGGAAUCAUGAAUCACAAGUUGGAAGGCAAAUUGAUAUCUAUAAAUCAUACACACAUAAUUAAUCAGCUAUUUACAAACCCUAGGUUCAGAUGAAAGAACUAGCUGGACAUCAUAAAAUAAAAUAAAAGCAUAAAUAAAAGAAAGCAAUUGAAAUAAAUAAAAUAGAUAAAACCCGGAAGAAAUUCUGGAUGAACAGCUUGAAUCUUGAAUCUUGCAGGAAAAGAAAUCUAAUCUAUGAAAACAUUAAAAUCCUAAGUCUAAAACUGAAAAAUAUGAAAAAAGGUAAAGAGAUGUGAAAAGAUGUGUCUAAUAGGUCAGGGAAAGGACCUUUAUAUAGGCACAGGGGAUAAAUACAGUUUAGAACUCGAAAAUACUGAGAAAAUAUAAAAAACCCGAAAAUUCCCGAAAAUUCGGAAAUUUCCGUCAACACUAUUCACUGCUGUGCGCGACUUUCUUGUUUUGGCCAUAACUUUCUUGUCCGAACUCCGAUUUAUGAUCCGUUU